Molecule: ribosomal RNA, 1460 nt
Filed under: Candidatus Peregrinibacteria bacterium RIFCSPLOWO2_01_FULL_48_20
Lineage: Bacteria; Candidatus Peregrinibacteriota
Also listed under: 1 other name
Description: bacterial SSU rRNA
Rfam family: Bacterial small subunit ribosomal RNA
Source: RNAcentral
UUUAUUGGAGAGUUUGAUCCUGGCUCAGGGUGAAUGUUGGCGGUGCGUCUAAUACAUGCAAGUCGAGCGAGGCUUCGAGCCGAGCGGCAGACGGCUGAGUAACACGUUGGUAGCUACCUCAAACUCGGGGAUAACUAUGAGAAAUCAUAGCUAAUACCGGAUGGUCCCGUAAGGGUAAAGUUUUUACGGUUUGAGAGGUGCCUGCGUCCUAUCAGGUAGUUGGUAAGGUAACGGCUUACCAAGCCUAUGACGGGUAACUGGUCUGAGAGGAUGGCCAGUCAGAGGGAAACUGAGACACGGUUCCCACUCCUACGGGAGGCAGCAGUAAAGAAUCUUCCACAAUGGACGAAAGUCUGAUGGAGCGACACCGCGUGCAGGAUGAAGGCCUUCGGGUUGUAAACUGCUUUUUUGGGGGAAUAAUUCUGAAUGUACUCCAAGAAUAAGCACCGGCAAAUCACGUGCCAGCAGCCGCGGUAAUACGUGAGGUGCAAACAUUACCCGGAAUUAUUGGGCGUAAAGCGUCCGCAGGCGGCGUGGUAAGUAGGGUAUUAAAUCUUGAGGCUCAACUUCAAGGCUGUGCCCUAAACUACCAUGCUAGAGAAAGGGAGAGGUGAGUGGAAUUCUUCAUGUAGGGGUAAAAUCCGUAGAUAUGAAGAGGAACACCAAAAGCGAAGGCAGCUCACUGGCCCUUUUCUGACGCUCAUGGACGAAAGCGUGGGGAGCGAACGGGAUUAGAUACCCCGGUAGUCCACGCUGUAAACGAUGAUCACUCGAUGUCGGGAGUUCGACCCUCUCGGUGUCUAAGCAAACGCGAUAAGUGAUCCGCCUGAGAAGUACGGUCGCAAGAUUAAAACUCAAAGGAAUAGACGGGGACCCACACAAGCGGUGGAGCGUGUGGUUUAAUUCGAUAGUAAGCGAGGAACCUUACCAGGGUUUGACAUCUCCCGAAUUUUCUGGAAACAGAGAAGUGCCGUAAGGAACGGGAAGACAGGUGCUGCAUGGUUGUCGUCAGCUCGUGCCUUGAGGUGUUCGGUUAAGUCCGUAAACGAGCGCAACCCACGUCCUUUGUUGUAUUUUUCAAAGGAGACUGCCUAGCAUAACUAGGAGGAAGGUGUGGAUGACGUCAAAUCAGCAUGGCCCUUAUACCCUGGGCGACACACGCGCUACAAUGGCCGGUACAACGGGCAGCCAAGGAGUAAUCCGGAGCGAAUCCCUAAAACCGGUCUAAGUUCGGAUUGAGGGCUGCAACUCGCCCUCAUGAAGCUGGAAUCGCUAGUAAAUGUGUAUCAGCCACGGCGCAUUGAAUAUGUUCCUGGGUCUUGUACUCACCGCCCGUCAAGUCAUGAAAGAUUGGGGUGCCCGAAAUUCCCGCUCAGCGGGGCUUAAGGCAAAACAAUUGAUUGGGACUAAGUCGUAACAAGGUAUCCGUACGAGAACGUGCGGAUGGACUACCUCCUUUU